Molecule: ribosomal RNA, 304 nt
Filed under: Staphylococcus aureus
Lineage: Bacteria; Bacillati; Bacillota; Bacilli; Caryophanales; Staphylococcaceae
Description: partial 23S ribosomal RNA
Rfam family: Bacterial large subunit ribosomal RNA
Source: RNAcentral
CUGGGAGGACCAUCUCCUAAGGCUAAAUACUCUCUAGUGACCGAUAGUGAACCAGUACCGUGAGGGAAAGGUGAAAAGCACCCCGGAAGGGGAGUGAAAUAGAACCUGAAACCGUGUGCUUACAAGUAGUCAGAGCCCGUUAAUGGGUGAUGGCGUGCCUUUUGUAGAAUGAACCGGCGAGUUACGAUUUGAUGCAAGGUUAAGCAGUAAAUGUGGAGCCGUAGCGAAAGCGAGUCUGAAUAGGGCGUUUAGUAUUUGGUCGUAGACCCGAAACCAGGUGAUCUACCCUUGGUCAGGUUGAAGU